CCUACGGGCGGCUGCAGUAGGGAAUCUUCCACAAUGGACGAAAGUCUGAUGGAGCAACGCCGCGUGUGUGAUGAAGGGUUUCGGCUCGUAAAACACCGUUGUAAGAGAAGAAUGACAUUGAGAGUAACUGUUCAGUGUGUGACGGUAUCUUCACAGAAAGGACCGGCUAACUACGUGCCAGCAGCCGCGGUAAUACGUAUGUUCCAAGCGUUAUCCGGAUUUAUUGGGCGUAAAGCGAGCGCAGGCGGUUACUUAAGUCCGAAGUGAAAGCCCACAGCUUAACUGUGGAAUUGCUUUCGAAACUGGAUAACUUGAGCGCAGUAGAGGAGAGUGGAACUCCAUGUGUAGCGGUGAAAUGCGUAGAUAUAUGGAAGAACACCAGUGGCGAAGGCGGCUCUCUGGACUGUAACUGACGUUGAGGCUCGAAAGCGUGGGUAGCAAACAGGAUUAGAUACCCGGGUAGUC
This 465-nucleotide ribosomal RNA is filed under the name uncultured Weissella sp. RNAcentral's name for it is "bacterial SSU rRNA". It matches the Rfam family "Bacterial small subunit ribosomal RNA", at positions 338 to 795 of the family's 1533-position model. The record is from RNAcentral. Lineage: Bacteria; Bacillati; Bacillota; Bacilli; Lactobacillales; Lactobacillaceae.